CCCAGGCUGCCCUAUCAUUUCCAUUCUUAAUCACUACAUUUGAUUUAUUUAUUUUUAAAGAUUUUUUUGAAUUUAUUUUUGAGAGAGAGAGAAUGAGCAGGGGGAAGGGCAGAGGGAGAAGCAGGCUCCCCACUGAUUGAGGAAACCCGAUGCAGGACUUGAUCCCAGGACCCUGGGAUCAUGACCUGAGCUGAAGGCAGAUGCUUAAACCAGCUGAGCCACCGAGGGGCCCCAAUAAAUACAUUUUAAAAAUUGAAAAGAGAUAGGUGAAAUUAGCAUAUCAUUUAACCCAAUAUAGAUUAAAAAUAUCAUCUGGGUUUUUGGAUUUUUGUUUGUUUGUUUGUUCGUUUGUUUUUAGGUAGAGAGCUGUAGGGAGGGGGAGCAGAGGGAGAGCUAGAAUUCCAAGCAGACUCCGGGCCCAAUGUGGGGCCCAGCGUGGGGCUGGAUCCCAUGACCCUGAGAUCAUGACCUGAGCCUAAACGAAGAGUUGGACUCUGAAACUGAUGGAACCAAACAGGCACCCCAGCCCCAAAAUAUUAUCAUUUUAACAUGUCAUCAACAGCAAAAUAUUAAUGAGCUGUUUUUUCUUUUUCAUUCUAAAUCUUUGAAGUCCAUUGUAUAUUUCACCCCUUAGCACCUGUGGAUUUGGACUCCCCACAUUUCAGAGGCUCUGUAGCCACAUAAGGCCGGUGCUGCCACAUUGGACAGUAGAGCUGUAAAUUAUUUAAUAACCCCUAGAAAGCCAGCAGAAGGUGUAAGUCACUGAGAAGUCCUGGUGUGGAGUGUGUGGAGAUCGCACGUGAACCCUGCUUUGGCAAGAGCCUGGUGUCCUGAUGAGCUGGGCCGGGCUCACCCCGCUCCCCACUUCCCCAGCAGGGAUUCCUGGGGAAAGCAGGUAUUCAAACGGGGCCUUGCUCACUUUCCCUUUCUUCCAGGAAGCAGGGAAUGGCUAUCUCCAGGAAAUGGGAUCUGCCCAGGCGUGGCAGCUGGGCAGUGGCACCCUUGGGUCAAUGAGCCUCAGUGGGAUGGGCAGCCAGGCAGGGGUGCUGGCGCAAGUACAGGGCACCCAGCCUGGGUCGAGGGAAUCAGAACAUGGGGAGGUUCCUCUGAGCAGGAAGCUGGAAGGAGAUCCUGAGUGAGGAAGAGCCAUCCCUGAGAGCAGAUCUCUGAUGGGAAGUCAAUCCAACCCUAUGAUCUCCUGGUCACCCCGCCCACCUGCCGGACUUCAUAUCUGACCCCCGACCCGCCUGCUGCCUCCGGAGCCCCC
This 1267-nucleotide long non-coding RNA is filed under the name Canis lupus familiaris (dog). Its description in RNAcentral is "lncRNA (ENSCAFG00040004920.1)". The record is from RNAcentral. Lineage: Eukaryota; Metazoa; Chordata; Mammalia; Carnivora; Canidae.